Podarcis lilfordi (Lilford's wall lizard) is the source of this 1660-nucleotide non-coding RNA. Lineage: Eukaryota; Metazoa; Chordata; Lepidosauria; Squamata; Lacertidae. The record is from the annotation of a GenBank genome assembly.
GAGUUGUUAGGAGGUUUCUGCUCAUCUCACAGACCUCCAAUUCCCAGAGUUCUCUAGGAAGAGGAAUUGAUUGUUAAACCACUCUGGGAAUUGUAGCUGUGAGGCUUACAGAGGUGUCCUAACAACUCUCAGCAUCCUUAACAAACUACAGUUCCCAGCAGAGAAAAAUGUAGGGUAUUAACUAACUAACUAACUAACUAACUAACUAACUGUAAAGGUAAAGGGACCCCUGACCAUUAGGUCCAGUCAUGACUGACUCUGGGGUUGCGGCGCUCAUCUCGCUUUAUUGGCCAAGGGAGCCGGCGUACAGCUUCUGGGUCAUGUGGCCAGCAUGACUAAGCCGCUUCUGGCGAACCAGAGCAGCACACGGAAACGCCAUUUACCUUCCCGCUGGAGCGGUACCUAUUUAUCUACUUGCACUUUGACAUGCUUUCGAACUGCUAGGUUGGCAGGAGCAGGGACUGAGCAACGGGAGCUCACCCUGUCGUGGGAUUCGAACCGCCAACCUUCUGAUCGGCAAGUCCUAGGCUCUGUGGUUUAAGCCACAGCGCCACCCGCAUCCCUCAACUAAUAAUACUAAUUCUAAUAAUAAUGACCCUUCAGAGAGAGGACUGUUCUCUGCAAAAAGACACAUAGUCACUCUUGUACACAUUCCUUCCCCCUCUUUACCCCACUUUGAGUGAGCCCCUGGAGAAGUUGAGUGACAAGACCAGUAGGGAAGGAGCUUUCAAGUGGCGAAUUCCCAUUGGUGCAUGAAAACAGUGGCCACCUAUCACAAGGGGUGGAGGGGAGUGAGCAGCCAUGCACAUUGGCCAUAUUGGCAUCUCAGCCACCUGAGCUGCCGUUCGGGACCUGCUUCUUCUCCUGAGUCAAAGAUGUUCCCCCUGCCUGAGAUUAAUUUGUGACAAAAUGUCAUAUUAAUAGAGCUCAGCAUCCCCGGGGAUAAAUAUGGCCUUUUGUUGAGCUAUCAUGGCGGCACUCUAUAUAGAACUGCAGAGAGUUAUUGAGAAGGUUUUGUUUUUGGGGAAAUGUCAUGCCACUGGAAGAAGUGUGCUUAACUGGUGACUAUGGAGCAAAGCAUUAUGAUGAUGAGUGAGGGGUUGUGACAUUUCCCUUUUUCUCUCCUCUACUCCAUAUCUCAUCCCUAAUUACACUCGCGCCUUUGGGUGUCAUCUGAUUAAGAAAGCAAUGGGGAAACUGUCAGGUAUCCAUAAAUCUGAUUCAUUUACUAACAAAGGAUCGUGCUUGUUUUGAGGAGGAAAGCUCGUCUUCUCUCCAAGGUGUGAAGAAGAUGCACACCAUAUGUUCGUUCAAGGGUGGGGAACCUCUGGCUUUUCAGAUGCUGCUGGACUCUUACAGUUUCCAUCAUCCCUGACCAUAGGCCAUACUGGCUGGGGCUGAUGGUAGUUGGAGUCCAACAACAUCUGGGGGUGGGGCUUCCAGGCCCCAACACUCUGGGCAGCUUCUAGCACGUAUAGAAACAUAGUACCCCUGCCUGAACAUCCAGUAGGGUAGAUGCUAUUCAGGCUGAUCCUGAGUGCAAUUCUACCUCCCAUGUUGAGUCCAUGGCCUCAUCCUCAGAAGAUGAGGAGUCUUAUCCCAGAUCAUGAGAGUCAGAAACUGUGUGCCCUGCCAAGGUACUGGGGCAACUGCCCAAGGU